AGCGAACGCUGGCGGCAGGCUUAACACAUGCAAGUCGAGCGGGCGUAGCAAUACGUCAGCGGCAGACGGGUGAGUAACGCGUGGGAACGUACCUUUUGGUUCGGAACAACACAGGGAAACUUGUGCUAAUACCGGAUAAGCCCUUACGGGGAAAGAUUUAUCGCCGAAAGAUCGGCCCGCGUCUGAUUAGCUAGUUGGUAGGGUAAUGGCCUACCAAGGCGACGAUCAGUAGCUGGUCUGAGAGGAUGAUCAGCCACAUUGGGACUGAGACACGGCCCAAACUCCUACGGGAGGCAGCAGUGGGGAAUAUUGGACAAUGGGGGCAACCCUGAUCCAGCCAUGCCGCGUGAGUGAUGAAGGCCCUAGGGUUGUAAAGCUCUUUUGUGCGGGAAGAUAAUGACGGUACCGCAAGAAUAAGCCCCGGCUAACUUCGUGCCAGCAGCCGCCGUAA
RNAcentral lists this ribosomal RNA (451 nucleotides) under uncultured bacterium. Its description in RNAcentral is "partial 16S ribosomal RNA". It matches the Rfam family "Bacterial small subunit ribosomal RNA", at positions 29 to 523 of the family's 1533-position model. The record is from RNAcentral.